RNAcentral lists this ribosomal RNA (708 nucleotides) under uncultured Neocallimastigales. Its description in RNAcentral is "partial large subunit ribosomal RNA". Lineage: Eukaryota; Fungi; Neocallimastigomycota; Neocallimastigomycetes; Neocallimastigales. The record is from RNAcentral.
UCAGACGAUGCGUCAUGCAUAUCAAUAAGCGGAGGAAAAGGGCAUGCUUAAGGGCGUUGUCACUUCGGUCACCUUCCUGGGCGUUCACUAUGAGAUCAUCGUUGACAUCAACGGCUUCAAGUGGAUGAUCCAGACCACCGAUUUCGUUGACGUUGACGAGCAUAUCGGUCUGAGCAUCGAUCCCGACGCCAUCCACAUCAUGCGCAAGUCCGAAUACUCCGGCAUGUACGGCGACUACUCAUCCUUCUCCAACGAAUUCGAUGAGCUCAGCGACGCGGAAGGUGAGGAAGAGGAAUGAAGAAAAAAAGCUCCGGCGGAAGCACCGUGCUGCAGAAGCUCGUGCUUGCCCCGUAUUCGGUAUGGUCGGUGCUGUUCAUAGUCGUGCCGCUUGUUUUUGUUGCAUACUAUGCCUUUACCGAUUCCAACUUUAAUUUCACCUUUGAAAACAUCAGCCGCUUUUUCACCGCCACAUCCGUCGGCGCCGACGGCACGGUAUCCCGCACCUAUCUUCUUAUCUUUGUCCGCUCGCUCAAGCUUGCCGUGAUCUCUACGGCAGUAUGCCUUAUUCUGGGCUACCCGAUGGCUUACAUCAUGAGCAAGGCACCCGCCCGCACCCAGAGCAUACUGCUUACGCUGAUCAUGAUACCGAUGUGGAUGAACUUCCUUAUCCGUACCUACGCUUAGGAUGUUGAGCGCAUGUCUCUCUCU